Molecule: ribosomal RNA, 492 nt
Filed under: uncultured bacterium
Lineage: Bacteria
Description: partial 16S ribosomal RNA
Rfam family: Bacterial small subunit ribosomal RNA
Source: RNAcentral
AGUGAACGCUGGCGGUAGGCCUAACACAUGCAAGUCGAACGGCAGCACAGUAAGAGCUUGCUCUUACGGGUGGCGAGUGGCGGACGGGUGAGGAAUACAUCGGAAUCUACUUUUUCGUGGGGGAUAACGUAGGGAAACUUACGCUAAUACCGCAUACGACCUACGGGUGAAAGCAGGGGAUCUUCGGACCUUGCGCGAUUGAAUGAGCCGAUGUCGGAUUAGCUAGUUGGCGGGGUAAAGGCCCACCAAGGCGACGAUCCGUAGCUGGUCUUAGAGGAUGAUCAGCCACACUGGAACUGAGACACGGUCCAGACGCCUACGGGAGGCAGCAGUGGGGAAUAUUGGACAAUGGGCGCAAGCCUGAUCCAGCCAUACCGCGUGGGUGAAGAAGGCCUUCGGGUUGUAAAGCCCUUUUGUUGGGAAAGAAAAGCAGCAGGUUAAUACCCCGCUGUUCUGACGGUACCCAAAGAAUAAGCACCGGCUAACUUCGUG